UACGAAGGGGGCUAGCGUUGCUCGGAAUCACUGGGCGUAAAGGGCGCGUAGGCGGCCAUUCAAGUCGGGGGUGAAAGCCUGUGGCUCAACCACAGAAUUGCCUUCGAUACUGUUUGGCUUGAGUUUGGUAGGGGUUGGUGGAACUGCGAGUGUAGAGGUGAAAUUCGUAGAUAUUCGCAAGAACACCAGUGGCGAAGGCGGCCAACUGGACCAAUACUGACGCUGAGGCGCGAAAGCGUGGGGAGCAAACAGG
RNAcentral lists this ribosomal RNA (253 nucleotides) under uncultured bacterium. RNAcentral describes it as "partial 16S ribosomal RNA". It matches the Rfam family "Bacterial small subunit ribosomal RNA", at positions 524 to 776 of the family's 1533-position model. The record is from RNAcentral.